GUGACUGUGAGAUUGUGAAGAAAUGAAAUCAGGGAUUUCGUCUUCUUCAGUUGAAGCUUUGAGGAACGGAGGAGAAGGAAUCGCCUCCGCCCUAUCUUCUUCCGAUCACUCUCGCUUGUUGCUUGCCAAUAGACCUCCCAGGACACCAUGGAGUCAACUAGCAAUUUUAAGAAAGUGGAAACAGAAUUAGGAGAAACUAUAGGCCCGUUCGGCAAGUAGUGUCAAUAUGGACUUGUUCAAAGCUAUGUGCUAUUUGCUUUGUCGCCGGGGUGGUUGUUGGUUACUCGUUAAAGCGAUGUGUUAAUCGAUGGGUUUCCAAGCUAUUGAGGAGAUUGAAAGAUUGAUAUUCCCAUCCAUGCC
Molecule: RNA transcript, 360 nt
Organism: Cucumis melo (muskmelon)
Lineage: Eukaryota; Viridiplantae; Streptophyta; Magnoliopsida; Cucurbitales; Cucurbitaceae
Exons: 3
Source: RefSeq, a predicted model, not a curated record